UCCAGCCUAUCUAGGGUUUUCUGGGCCAGAGCGCAUUACAAUGGGAGCUCUGGAGCUACUGCCUUGGAUCGCAUUGCUCGCGAGCUUGAUUCUUGCUGGAAGUGCGAGCGCUGAGGACGGCGGGUCUGUGUUCUUCGUGGAGACUGGACAGGGAAAGGAUUAUCUACAGUCUGGCUCCCAGGAAUCGGUGUUCUCGGAAGCUGAUGUUGCGGCAUCCGUCGCGGUGCUUCUUGGUGUGGAUCCGCCAGUGACAAUGUCCGAGGUCUCCGCCAGCAAGCUCGAGAGGCUUCUUAUUCCAAAUGUAUUUCACAGGCCACAGAGAGUAGUUUCGCUGGUGAUCGAAGGUUUCGAUUCAGGCUUCCUGCAAGAAAAGAACGUCUCUCAGGCUCUCGGAGUGAAGCUGGCUGAGCAACGUGGUUUGAGUGUAAAGCCCAAAAGGGCAGCAACAAAGCAUCUGGCGGGGAAGCCUGUUAGACUGGAGUCUCUCAACCAUCCUGUUCCGGAGAACUUCGACUUGUUUCACCUGAAACGCGAGCUUCAAGGUCUUUUUGGACCUUCUUCGGUAGAAGUUUCAACCGAGGAUAACGUCGAAGAAGAAACUGCCGACGAGAAUGCCGCGGAACAGGAGCUCGUGAUACUUUCAGUCGACGGCAUUUCUCUCGAACUCGAUCUUUUCAAGAGGUCGGACUACCUAUUUGUAACAGACCUUCUAUCCCUAUCAGCAGGAGUGAAACGUGCCGUCUCCGUCCACGAAGAGCUAACAACAAAGCCGGACACCGCAGAGCUCUUUUUCGGUACAUUUACGGGGAUCAAGGCUCUAAAGCGGGAGCGACAGGACGAAGAUGUCAGCAAAGCUUCAGACAUCGUGCUUAUUGCAGUGGCAAAGCUAUUCCAAAAGCUGGAUACACUGACAAAUGGAAAACUAGUCGGUGUCGUGGCUUUCCCGGGCCAGAAUGGACACCAUCUUGUACGGGAAAUGAUCGGCAAGCACUACCACUCUUACAGAUCCAGGCUCCUCGAGCAAGAGAAGAAGCCGCAGACUGUGGAGCAGCUUUCACGGAGGACUCUGGCGGCCUCGACGGCCAUCAUUCUUAUCAUAGCCACUUUGCUCGGAACUUGCUGCCUAUGUUACAUGCCUCUCACUCGCGACUCUCUCCUUUACUCGGGCGCAAAGCUGGACUAAACGAAUGCCUGUAUAGUAGAACUUUUGGAAUAAUCUUAUUCAACUCAUCAGUUAGUGUGGGGGAGCUUUUUAGUACAAGAGGAGAGUGUAGAACUGUACCGUUAAACGUCGAUCGGUGAUCGUCGGCUCUUCGCGAAUAAAACGAACGUCGUGGAAGAUCACAAAAGGAUCUCCGUCGUAAACUUCCAAGAA
Selaginella moellendorffii is the source of this 1375-nucleotide RNA transcript. RefSeq lists it as uncharacterized. The transcript is spliced from 11 exons. NCBI's taxonomy places the organism in Eukaryota, Viridiplantae, Streptophyta, Lycopodiopsida, Selaginellales, Selaginellaceae. The record is from RefSeq and is a predicted model, not a curated record.